UACGAAGGGGGCUAGCGUUGCUUGGAAUCACUGGGCGUAAAGCGCACGUAGGCGGCUUGUUAAGUCAGGGGUGAAAUCCUGGAGCUCAACUCCAGAACUGCCUUUGAUACUGGCGAGCUUGAGUUCGGGAGAGGUGAGUGGAACUGCGAGUGUAGAGGUGAAAUUCGUAGAUAUUCGCAAGAACACCAGUGGCGAAGGCGGCUCACUGGCCCGAUACUGACGCUGAUGCACGAAAGCGUGGGGAGCAAACAGG
This 253-nucleotide ribosomal RNA is filed under the name uncultured bacterium. RNAcentral describes it as "partial 16S ribosomal RNA". It matches the Rfam family "Bacterial small subunit ribosomal RNA", at positions 524 to 776 of the family's 1533-position model. The record is from RNAcentral.